GGGCGUGUGGUCUAGUGGUAUGACGUCUGCUUCGCACCUUUGCGGACUGAACGAACCCUCUCGAUUCAGCAGAAGGUCCCGGGUUCAAAUCCCGACUCGUCCA
This is a non-coding RNA of Malassezia arunalokei, 103 nucleotides long. The record is from the annotation of a GenBank genome assembly. Lineage: Eukaryota; Fungi; Basidiomycota; Malasseziomycetes; Malasseziales; Malasseziaceae.